Molecule: ribosomal RNA, 1021 nt
Filed under: uncultured bacterium
Lineage: Bacteria
Description: bacterial SSU rRNA
Rfam family: Bacterial small subunit ribosomal RNA
Source: RNAcentral
AGGAAUAUUGGUCAAUGGGCGAGAGCCUGAACCAGCCAAGUCGCGUGAGGGAAGACGGCCCUACGGGUUGUAAACCUCUUUUGUCAGGGAGCAAGAACAGGCACGUGUGCCUGACUGAGAGUACCUGAAGAAAAAGCAUCGGCUAACUCCGUGCCAGCAGCCGCGGUAAUACGGAGGAUGCGAGCGUUAUCCGGAUUUAUUGGGUUUAAAGGGUGCGUAGGCGGACUGCCAAGUCAGCGGUAAAAUAGCGGGGCUCAACCCCGUCGAGCCGUUGAAACUGGUGGUCUUGAGUGGGCGAGAAGUACGCGGAAUGUGUGGUGUAGCGGUGAAAUGCAUAGAUAUCACGCAGAACUCCGAUUGCGAAGGCAGCGUACCGGCGCCCGACUGACGCUGAAGCACGAAAACGUGGGUAUCGAACAGGAUUAGAUACCCUGGUAGUCCACGCAGUAAACGAUGAAUGCUAGCUGUCCGGGACGAAUGAGUCCUGGGUGGCACAGCGAAAGCGUUAAGCAUUCCACCUGGGGAGUACGCCGGCAACGGUGAAACUCAAAGGAAUUGACGGGGGCCCGCACAAGCGGAGGAACAUGUGGUUUAAUUCGAUGAUACGCGAGGAACCUUACCCGGGCUCAAACGCACUACGAAUGAUGCUGAAAGGUGUCAGCCAGCAAUGGCGUAGUGCGAGGUGCUGCAUGGUUGUCGUCAGCUCGUGCCGUGAGGUGUCGGCUUAAGUGCCAUAACGAGCGCAACCCCUACCGACAGUUGCUAACUGGUCAAGCAGAGGACUCUGUCGGGACUGCCGGCGCAAGCUGUGAGGAAGGCGGGGAUGACGUCAAAUCAGCACGGCCCUUACGUCCGGGGCGACACACGUGUUACAAUGGCAGGUACAGCGGGAAGCCACCUGGCGACAGGGAGCGGAACCCGAAAACCUGUCUCAGUUCGGAUUGGAGUCUGCAACCCGACUCCAUGAAGCUGGAUUCGCUAGUAAUCGCGCAUCAGCCAUGGCGCGGUGAAUACGUUCCCG